Molecule: ribosomal RNA, 730 nt
Filed under: uncultured bacterium
Lineage: Bacteria
Description: bacterial SSU rRNA
Rfam family: Bacterial small subunit ribosomal RNA
Source: RNAcentral
AACAGGAUUAGAUACCCUGGUAGUCCACGCCGUAAACGAUGUCGACUUGGAGGUUGUUCCCUUGAGGAGUGGCUUCCGGAGCUAACGCGUUAAGUCGACCGCCUGGGGAGUACGGCCGCAAGGUUAAAACUCAAAUGAAUUGACGGGGGCCCGCACAAGCGGUGGAGCAUGUGGUUUAAUUCGAUGCAACGCGAAGAACCUUACCUACUCUUGACAUCCAGAGAACUUAGCAGAGAUGCUUCGGUGCCUUCGGGAACUCUGAGACAGGUGCUGCAUGGCUGUCGUCAGCUCGUGUUGUGAAAUGUUGGGUUAAGUCCCGCAACGAGCGCAACCCUUAUCCUUUGUUGCCAGCGGUUCGGCCGGGAACUCAAAGGAGACUGCCAGUGAUAAACUGGAGGAAGGUGGGGAUGACGUCAAGUCAUCAUGGCCCUUACGAGUAGGGCUACACACGUGCUACAAUGGCGCAUACAAAGAGAAGCGACCUCGCGAGAGCAAGCGGACCUCAUAAAGUGCGUCGUAGUCCGGAUCGGAGUCUGCAACUCGACUCCGUGAAGUCGGAAUCGCUAGUAAUCGUAGAUCAGAAUGCUACGGUGAAUACGUUCCCGGGCCUUGUACACACCGCCCGUCACACCAUGGGAGUGGGUUGCAAAAGAAGUAGGUAGCUUAACCUUCGGGAGGGCGCUUACCACUUUGUGAUUCAUGACUGGGGUGAAGUCGUAACAAGGUAACC